GACGAACGCUGGCGGCGUGCUUAACACAUGCAAGUCGAACGGAAAGGCCCUGCUUUUGUGGGGUGCUCGAGUGGCGAACGGGUGAGUAACACGUGAGUAACCUGCCCUUGACUUUGGGAUAACUUCAGGAAACUGGGGCUAAUACCGGAUAGGAGCUCCUGCUGCAUGGUGGGGGUUGGAAAGUUUCGGCGGUUGGGGAUGGACUCGCGGCUUAUCAGCUUGUUGGUGGGGUAGUGGCUUACCAAGGCUUUGACGGGUAGCCGGCCUGAGAGGGUGACCGGGCCAAAUGGGGAAGGGAUUAGGGCCCGGAUCCCUCGGGGGGGAAGAAGGGGGGAUUAUGGAAAAAGGGGGGGAAGCCGGAGGCAGAAACGCCGGGGGGGGGAGGAGGGCCUUGGGGUGGAAAACCGGUUGGGCCGGGGACGAAGGGGGGGGGAGGGUAAGGGGUAAAGAAAAAACGGCAAACAACGG
This 468-nucleotide ribosomal RNA is filed under the name uncultured bacterium. RNAcentral describes it as "partial 16S ribosomal RNA". The stretch from base 13 to 374 matches the Rfam family "Bacterial small subunit ribosomal RNA", at positions 40 to 399 of the family's 1533-position model. The record is from RNAcentral.